GUGUGCGAUACCGCUAGAUUUGGUAUCGAUCCGAUACCAAGUAAAUACAGGGCCAGUAUCGCCGAUACCGAUACCAAUACCAAUACUUUUUAAUAAUUAAGGUGGAUGCGUCUUCAACCUAAAUCUAAAUGAAUUUUCAUGACUUUUAAUUUGUUUUUGUGAUUUGCAUUUCGGGUUAUUAAUCAGUACUACAAAAGCUUUUGUUCAGAAACAACUUUUGGUUACUUCUGUUUUUUUUUUAAAUAAACAAAGUUACAAAAUGAUUAAUUCACAAAUAUAUAUAUAAAAAAAAAUAAAAACAAAUUCUCUUUUCAAGUAGCAUGUUAAUAAAAAAAUGUUUCUCCUCUUUAGUGCACUUCUUUUCAGGAUUUUUUUUUCUUAAACAAAGUCAUAAAGUUUUACUUCACAAUGUAAAACAAAUUCUCCUUGUACAAAAUUCCUGAAGCCGACAUCUUCCACUAUGGAAAGAGGCUGCAGGUCCUUCACAAUCAUUUCUGAUAGGCGCCUUGUAAUAUCCACUGCUCUUGGAGAAUCAGC
Long non-coding RNA from Carassius gibelio (silver crucian carp), 537 nucleotides. RefSeq lists it as uncharacterized. The transcript has 2 exons. NCBI's taxonomy places the organism in Eukaryota, Metazoa, Chordata, Actinopteri, Cypriniformes, Cyprinidae. The record is from RefSeq and is a predicted model, not a curated record.